CAAUAGCGUAUAUUAAAGUUGUUGCAGUUAAAAAGCUCGUAGUUGAAUUUUUGCUUGCCGCCGAUGUCGGAACUUCCGUACGUUCGGCGGCGUGCAUCCUUGGGUGGAACCUGUGUGGCAUUAGGUUGUCGUGCAGGGGAUGCUCAUCGUUUACUGUGAAAAAAUUAGAGUGUUCAAAGCAGGCUUACGCCGUUGAAUAUAUUAGCAUGGAAUAAUAAGAUAGGACCUUGGUACUAUUUUGUUGGUUUGCGCACCGAGGUAAUGAUUAACAGGGACAGUUGGGGGUAUUCGUAUUCCAUCGUCAGAGGUGAAAUUCUUGGAUUUCUGGAAGACGAACUACUGCGAAAGCAUUUACCAAGGAUGUUUUCAUUAA
This 373-nucleotide ribosomal RNA is filed under the name uncultured eukaryote. RNAcentral's name for it is "partial 18S ribosomal RNA". It matches the Rfam family "Eukaryotic small subunit ribosomal RNA", at positions 592 to 976 of the family's 1831-position model. The record is from RNAcentral.